UACGUAGGGUGCAAGCGUUAAUCGGAAUUACUGGGCGUAAAGCGUGCGCAGGCGGUUGUGUAAGACAGAUGUGAAAUCCCCGGGCUCAACCUGGGAACUGCAUUUAUGACUGCACAGCUGGAGUGCGGCAGAGGGGGAUGGAAUUCCGCGUGUAGCAGUGAAAUGCGUAGAUAUGCGGAGGAACACCGAUGGCGAAGGCAAUCCCCUGGGCCUGCACUGACGCUCAUGCACGAAAGCGUGGGGAGCAAACAGG
This 253-nucleotide ribosomal RNA is filed under the name uncultured bacterium. RNAcentral describes it as "partial 16S ribosomal RNA". It matches the Rfam family "Bacterial small subunit ribosomal RNA", at positions 524 to 776 of the family's 1533-position model. The record is from RNAcentral.